Molecule: ribosomal RNA, 482 nt
Filed under: uncultured bacterium
Lineage: Bacteria
Description: bacterial SSU rRNA
Rfam family: Bacterial small subunit ribosomal RNA
Source: RNAcentral
UUGAACGCUGGCGGCAGGCCUAACACAUGCAAGUCGAGCGGAUGAGGAGUGCUUGCACUCCGAUUCAGCGGCGGACGGGUGAGUAAUGCCUAGGAAUCUGCCUGGUAGUGGGGGACAACGUUUCGAAAGGAACGCUAAUACCGCAUACGUCCUACGGGAGAAAGCAGGGGACCUUCGGGCCUUGCGCUAUCAGAUGAGCCUAGGUCGGAUUAGCUAGUUGGUGGGGUAAAGGCUCACCAAGGCGACGAUCCGUAACUGGUCUGAGAGGAUGAUCAGUCACACUGUAACUGAGACACGGUCCAGACUCCUACGGGAGGCAGCAGUGGGGAAUAUUGGACAAUGGGCGAAAGCCUGAUCCAGCCAUGCCGCGUGUGUGAAGAAGGUCUUCGGAUUGUAAAGCACUUUAAGUUGGGAGGAAGGGCAUUAACCUAAUACGUUAGUGUUUUGACGUUACCGACAGAAUAAGCACCGGCUAACUUCGU